UUGACGGGGCCGCACAAGCGGUGGAGCAUGUGGUUAAUUCGAAGCAACGCGAAGAACCUUACCAGGUCUUGACAUCCCUGACAACCCGAGAGAUCGGGCGUUCCCCUUCGGGGGACAGGGUGACAGGUGGUGCAUGGUUGUCGUCAGCUCGUGUCGUGAGAUGUUGGGUUAAGUCCCGCAACGAGCGCAACCCUCGACCUUAGUUGCCAGCAUUCAGUUGGGCACUCUAAGGUGACUGCCGGCUAAAAGUCGGAGGAAGGUGGGGAUGACGUCAAAUCAUCAUGCCCUUUAUGUCCUGGGCUACACACGUACUACAAUGGCCGUUACAACGGGAAGCGAAGGAGCAAUCCGGAGCAAAUCCCUUAAAGGCGGUCCCAGUUCAGAUUGUGGGCUGAAACUCGCCCACAUGAAGGCGGAAUUGCUAGUAAUUGCAGAUCAGCAUGCUGCAGUGAAUACGUUCCCGGGCCUU
RNAcentral lists this ribosomal RNA (469 nucleotides) under uncultured Anoxybacillus sp. Its description in RNAcentral is "bacterial SSU rRNA". It matches the Rfam family "Bacterial small subunit ribosomal RNA", at positions 910 to 1382 of the family's 1533-position model. The record is from RNAcentral. Lineage: Bacteria; Bacillati; Bacillota; Bacilli; Caryophanales; Anoxybacillaceae.